Long non-coding RNA from Macaca mulatta (Rhesus monkey), 828 nucleotides. RefSeq lists it as uncharacterized. The record is from RefSeq and is a predicted model, not a curated record. NCBI's taxonomy places the organism in Eukaryota, Metazoa, Chordata, Mammalia, Primates, Cercopithecidae.
CAGGGCACACAGGGUCGCGCCAAUCCCACUCCCUGAGACGCUAGCACAGACGCCCGAGGCCAUAAGGCUCAGCGGACCGGAGCGGCAAUCCCCGCCCUCGCCCCUCCAAACCUCUGCUCUCCGCCCAGGCUUCUUUUCUCCUGAAUCGAUCAUUGGGUGGUUGCGAGCCCCGAGCAAAGGAGACUCGUUCGGAAGGACUCGCAAGAUAUGGAAAUAACUCAAACUACUAUGGUAAGUGAAAUAGCGACGUCACAGUUGGGGACCGGAAGUGCUCGAGCCUCCACAGAGCGUCUGGACUCCACUUCCCAGAAUCCCCCGGACUCGCCCGUCUGAGACAAAGGGCCCGCGACUCAAACAGAGCAUCUGGACUCUGUCACUCUAACUCUGCAGCAAGCUUUCCUGAAGUGGAGUUGGAGAUAGCAUCUCAGUAAAUGUCCUGUACCCACUACUUAUUGAGGACACACCCUGUUGACUGCUAAAAAUUUUCAUGGGACACAAUUCUGGGAAGUGAGACAUUAGGAGAAGUGAGCUGUCCUCUCCUGACAAGAGAUGUGCUUGGCAGGCUGUGAGGAGAGGAGGAGUUACAAGAGUAAAAAGGUCUCUCUCUAGAAGAGAAUUCACUAAAGAGUCUGGCACUGUUUUCCACCUGAUAAGAGACACUUACCAUCUAUUCUCUGAAGCUUGCUACCUGGAGGCUUCAUUUGCGUAAUAAAAACCUUGGUCUCCAGAACCCCUUAUCAUAAUCCAGACACUCUUUUCUAUUGAUUCCAGGACUUUAGAUAACUCUUUCAACCAAUUGCCAAUGAGAAAAUUUUUGAAUCCACCUAU